UACGUAGGCAGCAAGCGUUGUUCGGAAUUACUGGGCGUAAAGAGUGUGUAGGCGGUUCGCCAAGUUUGGUGUGAAAUCUCCCGGCUUAACUGGGAGGGUGCGCCGAAAACUGGCGGGCUUGAGGGUGGGAGAGGUAAGCGGAAUUUCUGGUGUAGCGGUGAAAUGCGUAGAUAUCAGAAGGAACACCUGUGGUGUAGACAGCUUACUGGACCACUUCUGACGCUGAGACACGAAAGCGUGGGUAGCAAACAGG
Molecule: ribosomal RNA, 253 nt
Filed under: uncultured bacterium
Lineage: Bacteria
Description: partial 16S ribosomal RNA
Rfam family: Bacterial small subunit ribosomal RNA
Source: RNAcentral